GCCCUUUCUUAUACCCGGACUCCCUAUCACUAGGUCUUUCUCCCAUAGCCUUCCUUAUCAUCUCGCCCUUUCUCUCCCUCUCUCUCCCGUAGCCUUCCUCAUCAUCUUCUUUAUUUUGAACUUAAACCUCUCUUUUGAACCCAGAUCUAUCUCCCUCUCGUUGUAAACAACGGGCAGCCACCACCCCUUCGUCAUGCUUGUCUCUCUCCUUGAAGGUAAUUUGAAGAUAUUUUGGUAUAGAUUUUCAAUUCUCAGCCAACUAGCAGAGUAUUUGUAGCUGAGGGCCAAGAACAAGCAGAUGAAGGCCUAGGGCGAGCAGAUGAAGACCCAGAUUAGGACCCAGGACGACCAGAUGAGUAUGAUUCUACAGGCCUUAGCGAUGUCCGGUCUUAAAAUCCAGCUGCCAGCACCUAAUCUUUGUUGGAGUAAAAUCUGGUUCUCACAAGGUUUUGUGGUCUCACAAUCAUUGUACAUUACUUGAGGAUCAAGUUAUAGGAUUAGGGAAUUAACUUGGACUUUUCCGGUUGCAAAAGGAAUGUAAUAUUAAGUUGUUAUUCUUGCUAAAGGGGUUCCUAAUCCUGAUUGGUUAAGGAGAU
This 596-nucleotide small RNA is filed under the name Malus domestica (apple). RNAcentral describes it as "sRNA MD15G0236800". The record is from RNAcentral. Lineage: Eukaryota; Viridiplantae; Streptophyta; Magnoliopsida; Rosales; Rosaceae.